AUGGAAACUAAAUUUCAUGAUCUGGAUGUCAAGGUGACAGGAAUUGCCACAAAUGUUGAGAAGUUCAAAGAAGAUGUUGAAGCAAAGCUGAGCAGUGACGAUGAUGAUGCACUACCUACUACCACCCAGUUCCAGACUAUGUCUAGGCCAACCGUUGUUGUCGUUACAUCAAAUGCUCCUGCCACAGAGACGGCCCCGGCUGCUGUUCCUACUACCGCACCACCUGUGUCCAACCCUCUUGUCCAGCAGACUUCGUUAGAAGCAUUUGCGGAUGCACUUAGCUCCACUCUCAUCGACCCACACCAGAGCUGCAAGCCAGAGGGCUUCAUCGCCAGCUGCUGUUGA
Molecule: ribosomal RNA, 345 nt
Filed under: Triticum aestivum (bread wheat)
Lineage: Eukaryota; Viridiplantae; Streptophyta; Magnoliopsida; Poales; Poaceae
Description: partial small subunit ribosomal RNA
Source: RNAcentral